AAAAAAAAAAGGAUUUAUACUUAAUAAUAUUAGUUCUCCUGCAGGGUUACAAUAUCGGUGGUUGGUUGUUAACAAAACCCCACACCACCGUCAGAAAAAAUUACAAACUUGGAGAUUUAAUUUACUUAAAUGUCUAAAACCCAGAUAGUUUUCAUGGGUCAUCUUCUUUCUUGGGUUGGAGGGGGAAAAAAUAGGACCCAAAGAAAGAAUAAUUAUAAAAGAGAAAAUUAA
This 231-nucleotide unclassified non-coding RNA is filed under the name Hevea brasiliensis (rubber tree). The record is from RNAcentral. Lineage: Eukaryota; Viridiplantae; Streptophyta; Magnoliopsida; Malpighiales; Euphorbiaceae.